GAUGAACGCUGGCGGCGUGCCUAAUACAUGCAAGUAGAACGCUGAAGGAAGGAGCUUGCUCUUUCCGGAUGAGUUGCGAACGGGUGAGUAACGCGUAGGUAACCUGCCUGGUAGCGGGGGAUAACUAUUGGAAACGAAAGCUAAUACCGCAUAACAGUAGAUGUUGCAUGAUAUCUACUUAAAAGGUGCAAUUGCACCACUACCAGAUGGACCUGCGUUGUAUUAGCUAGUUGGUGAGGUAACGGCUCACCAAGGCGACGAUACAUAGCCGACCUGAGAGGGUGAUCGGCCACACUGGGACUGAGACACGGCCCAGACUCCUACGGGAGGCAGCAGUAGGGAAUCUUCGGCAAUGGACGGAGGUCUGACCGAGCAACGCCGCGUGAGUGAAGAAGGUUUUCGGAUCGUAAAGCUCUGUUGUAAGAGAAGAACGAGUGUGAGAGUGGAAAGUUCACACUGUGACGGUAUCUUACCAGAAAGGGACGGCUAACUACGUG
This 497-nucleotide ribosomal RNA is filed under the name uncultured bacterium. RNAcentral's name for it is "partial 16S ribosomal RNA". It matches the Rfam family "Bacterial small subunit ribosomal RNA", at positions 28 to 507 of the family's 1533-position model. The record is from RNAcentral.